RNAcentral lists this ribosomal RNA (392 nucleotides) under uncultured bacterium. RNAcentral's name for it is "bacterial SSU rRNA". It matches the Rfam family "Bacterial small subunit ribosomal RNA", at positions 29 to 416 of the family's 1533-position model. The record is from RNAcentral.
AGUGAACGCUGGCGGCAUGCCUAACACAUGCAAGUCGAACGAUCUUUGGCAGUUUAUCGUCAGAGGUAGUGGCAAACGGGUGAGUAAUACGUGGACAAUCUUCCCUCGAGCGGGGGAUAACUCCGGGAAACCGGAGCUAAUACCGCGUGAGACCACGUCCUGGCAUCAGGAUGGGGUUAAAGCUCCGCAAGGGGCACUUGAGGAGGGGUUCACGGCCUAUCAGCUAGUUGGCGGGUUAAAGCCACCAAGGCGACGACGGGUAACCGGUCUGAAAGGACGACCGGUCACAAUGGCACUGAGACACGGGCCAUACUCCUACGGAGGCAGCAGUGGGGAAUUUUGCUCAAUGGGGGCAACCCUGAUCCAGCCAUGCCGCGUGAGUGAAGAAGGCC